CUACGGGGCGCAGCAGUGAGGAAUAUUGGACAAUGGAGGCAACUCUGAUCCAGCCAUGCCGCGUGCAGGAAGACGGCCCUACGGGUUGUAAACUGCUUUUAUACAGGAAGAAACGCCGCUACGUGUAGCGGUUUGACGGUACUGUACGAAUAAGGAUCGGCUAACUCCGUGCCAGCAGCCGCGGUAAUACGGAGGAUCCAAGCGUUAUCCGGAAUCAUUGGGUUUAAAGGGUCCGUAGGCGGUUUUUUAAGUCAGAGGUGAAAUCCUGCAGCUCAACUGUAGCAUUGCCUUUGAUACUGAAAGACUCGAGUUAUUGUGAAGUAGUUAGAAUGUGUAGUGUAGCGGUGAAAUGCAUAGAUAUUACACAGAAUACCGAUUGCGAAGGCAGAUUACUAACAAUAUACUGACGCUGAGGGACGAAAGCGUGGGUAGCGAACAGGAUUAGAUACCCCAGUAGUC
This 459-nucleotide ribosomal RNA is filed under the name uncultured bacterium. Its description in RNAcentral is "partial 16S ribosomal RNA". It matches the Rfam family "Bacterial small subunit ribosomal RNA", at positions 339 to 795 of the family's 1533-position model. The record is from RNAcentral.